CUGAAUAAUGAGGAGCCUCACACACAAGGAAGACAAUCUGCUGAACAGCCAACACAAAGAAGUUUUGGAGUCUAUCAAGCACCAGAGGGUGCACAAGAGUUUGCGAUGAGACACUGAGACUGAGACAGGAAGGUCCAGUUUGAGGUUCACUGCGGAGAUGCGAUGGACCAAAGAGAGGCUUGGAUGACAUCAUCAGUGCAGCAGAAUGGACGAAUGCUUCUGACAAGGACACAGAGAGACUCUCCUGAGGUCUGAGACAGAUGAGCUUCUGUUAUAAAUACAGAGAAGAGAAGGUCUCCGUUAAGAGGGACGUAUGAUGGGUGUCGUGUAUGGAUUCAUAUUCAUUUACAGCAUAAAAGACUGUAGGAUUUUCUUCCGUUCAUUCUCUCCAGGUCUUCAUCCAUGAACACUUGACACAGUGGUUAAUUAGAUUUUUAACCGCUCUUAACCAUCUAGUCAUAAAUCAUAACUUAACGAGUCUGAAUGACACAGAACACCAAUAAGCCUCGACAGCGUCGUAAAUCACAGACCGAAAACACUUGAAUUGAGUUACUUGCCAAAAAAGAACAAACAUCGAAUGUUAAACAUAAUGGGUGACUAAUGAUGAAUAUAUCAUGUGUCAUGCGUAUUCAUCAGUAAAUGUGGGUUACUAGUCUCUAUUAAAGUACUUUAUAUCCUUACUAGGUGAAGUCAACAUGAAAUGAAAACUUGGUUUUAUUGCAGGGCACAGUAUUCAAAAUCAAAACACCUUUCUAUUUCAGCUGACGUCUGUAGAUUUUUAAGAAAUAAUAAUUGACCCAUCCGUCAUCAUUUACUGUGACACUCACAUCUGCCAGAUGCUUUCAUCUGAAUAAACUUAUACGCUGCAUCUCA
Long non-coding RNA from Misgurnus anguillicaudatus (oriental weatherfish), 873 nucleotides. RefSeq lists it as uncharacterized. NCBI's taxonomy places the organism in Eukaryota, Metazoa, Chordata, Actinopteri, Cypriniformes, Cobitidae. The record is from RefSeq and is a predicted model, not a curated record.